GACGAACGCUGGCGGCGUGCUUAACACAUGCAAGUCGAACGGAAAGGCCCCUUUGGGGGUACUCGAGUGGCGAACGGGUGAGUAACACGUGAGUAACCUGCCCUUGACUUCGGGAUAACUUCAGGAAACUGGGGCUAAUACCGGAUAGGAAUCCUUGCUGCAUGGUGGGGGUUGGAAAGCUUCGGCGGUUUUGGAUGGACUCGCGGCUUAUCAGCUUGUUGGUGGGGUAGUAGCUUACCAAGGCUUUGACGGGUAGCCGGCCUGAGAGGGCGACCGGCCACAUUGGGACUGAGAUACGGCCCAGACUCCUACGGGAGGCAGCAGUGGGGAAUAUUGCACAAUGGGCGGAAGCCUGAUGCAGCAACGCCGCGUGCGGGAUGACGGCCUUCGGGUUGUAAACCGCUUUCAGCAGGGGCGAAGCUUGUGGUGACGGUACCUGCAGAAGAAGCACCGGCUAACUACGUG
This 465-nucleotide ribosomal RNA is filed under the name uncultured bacterium. Its description in RNAcentral is "partial 16S ribosomal RNA". It matches the Rfam family "Bacterial small subunit ribosomal RNA", at positions 28 to 507 of the family's 1533-position model. The record is from RNAcentral.